RNAcentral lists this ribosomal RNA (475 nucleotides) under uncultured Acidobacteriota bacterium. RNAcentral's name for it is "bacterial SSU rRNA". It matches the Rfam family "Bacterial small subunit ribosomal RNA", at positions 224 to 704 of the family's 1533-position model. The record is from RNAcentral. Lineage: Bacteria; Pseudomonadati; Acidobacteriota.
GAGGAGCCCGCGCCCGAUUAGCUAGUUGGUGAGGUAACGGCUCACCAAGGCUAUGAUCGGAAGCUGGUCUGAGAGGAUGGCCAGCCACACUGGAACUGAGACACGGUCCAGACUCCUACGGGAGGCAGCAGUGGGGAAUCUUGCGCAAUGGGCGAAAGCCUGACGCAGCGACGCCGCGUGGGGGAUGAAGCUUCUCGGAGUGUAAACCCCUUUCGACCGGGACGAAUGCCCGCAAGGGAGUGACGGUACCGGUAUAAGAAGCCCCGGCUAACUACGUGCCAGCAGCCGCGGUAAGACGUAGGGGGCCAGCGUUGUUCGGAAUUACUGGGUGUAAAGGGUCAGUAGGCGGUGUGGCAAGUCGGGCGUGAAAUUCCCGGGCUCAACCUGGGGGCUGCGUUUGAUACUGAUGAGCUUGAAUGCGGGAGAGGAUGGUGGAAUUCCCAGUGUAGAGGUGAAAUUCGUAGAUAUUGGGAAG